This 443-nucleotide long non-coding RNA is filed under the name Homo sapiens (human). Its description in RNAcentral is "LNC_000546". The record is from RNAcentral. Lineage: Eukaryota; Metazoa; Chordata; Mammalia; Primates; Hominidae.
UUCAGGGCACAUCCACGGCCCCAGCUCACAAUUCCAGUCAAAGUCAUGCGGCCUUGGAGGGAACAGACGAGGGGUCCCCCUGAGUCUCCCUGGCAGGAAUCUGUUUUCCACUGUGGGUCAGCAGCACACAGCAUUUUGGUGGUGACUUCAGAGCCGUAGUAGUGGGGCUGCUGACACUCCCGGUGGGAAAUCAGCUUCACAACAGUCAUUUUCAGCUGCUCCGGAUAGAGAUAGUCGGUAGAAUUCUCUUUUCCAAAGCCAGUGAUCUCACAGCUUGUGCCAAACUGGGGAUCGUUAUACAUCGAGGGCAGGCAGAUGGUCUGUAUAGUCCGGGAUGGCUGCGCACACCUGCCCUCCUUGGAACGGAUCUUCAGCAAGGCUGGGGGAGGACAGAGGGUCAGAGGAGAAAGAUCACUACUGGUUAGGCGGUCCCCAUCUGUCCC